This 3259-nucleotide long non-coding RNA is filed under the name Pelobates cultripes (western spadefoot toad). The record is from RNAcentral. Lineage: Eukaryota; Metazoa; Chordata; Amphibia; Anura; Pelobatidae.
CAAUGACACCAGGAGGAGGAAGGUGCCAGGAUUAGGUGAAAUCUGCACUAGAGCUGAAAACCAUAAACCUGAAAGAGUAAAGGUAACUAGACAUGUAUCAGGAACUGUAUCUAGAAGUGUCAGAACUCAUAGAGGCUGCAGUGCAGUAUCUCCUCCACUCAUUGCUCUGGAAAGUCCCUAUGACUGGAGACGAACCGUUAAACAAAAACAAGCUGAAGUAGUUUCCUAAGGCUGCCUAAUGAGAAGAAUGGCUUCCUGGUUGUGAUAUUUACAUAGACUAGUCACUCCAUGGCCUAUCAUGAUAUUUACACCAGGGGUGAUCCUUGCAGAACUUCAACUCUCAACUUAAGCUGGCAAAGCAUCAUGGGAGUCGUAGUUCUAAACCAGCUGGAGAUUUGCCUUUCCGGGCAGCACAGGUCUAUUGCACUGAUCUGAUCUACCCUUUGUACAGCGCUACGGAAUCUGAUGGCGCUAUAUAAAUAAUAAAAUAAUAGUAAUUAUAAUCACAGAGACACAUUUAAUAUAUUAUUUCACAUAUAAACACUGACGAAUCCACACUAAUUGUGUUUAGUUUGGGAAAUGCAUGAAGGACACCUUAUAAAUAAUUUACCUUUGUAUUGAUCCUGGUUUAUUACUGCUUCAUACUUCAUGUGAUCCAUAGCUUUUUUUUUUUCAGUGAUAAAUAAAUAAUGACGUAUAUCUAAAUGCUUUAAGUCUGCCUGUUGGUAUUUAGAGAUAGAGAUAGCUCUCUCAUCCAACUAUAUUGGAUUGUGUGUGAUAAAAUACAUACACACAUGCACAUACACAACAAACUAUAAUAUUUUUAAUUUUUUGCAUUUUUUAAAGAGAUGUUUCGACUAAAUAAACUCAGACCUAAAUCCAAUCAGUCAAACCAAUAAUAACGCUGGGUCAUUUAUUAUGGCCCAUACUUUGGAUCUAUACAAUACAUUCAUAAUACAUCAGCUCAAGUUCCCUACUAAAACUUGCAAUUUUCCCUCGAAUAGUAACAGAAUUCGGAAGCAAUGAAAAUUAAAAAAUAAAAAUAGCAAAACAAUACAUACAAACGUUUAAACCAAUGAUUUAUUUAUUUUUUUGUCAAUCAAAAUUUGUAUUGAGGCAUUAAGCGUAUAAACAAGGUAUACAAUGGUGACAUUAACAAUUGCAAUUAGAGGCUCGAUCAAAGCUGAUGGACUCAGAAAGAGAAUAUAGAAUAUAGUAUUUCACACCGAGAAUUUCCAGGCCUCAUUUUAUAUUUAAGGAAAACAAAAAGUAAAUUACACAGUGCAUUGAGGUUAAAACAAAAUAUUGAGGUUAAAACUAAAAAGAUAAUGUGACACAAAGCUACAACAAUGAUUCAGCUAAUAUUAUAUACUGUGAAAGUGUGUGUGUGAGUGUUUGUGUGUGUAUUAAAUAUACACCCAUAUUAGAAUAUUGAUGGUCACACUAGAUUUUCUUAUUAUCUGAAUUAUAUUGUGAGUGCAUAAAAAAAAACAUUUAAGCAAUCAAAAAAAAUAUAUAAUAAAAAAAUUAAAAAACAGAAUGGCACGAUGACAUUGUAUAAUGACGGGGACUAGGGCAUGUCACUGGCAUAUUAACAAUUGUCCCACUAAAAUGAAAUGCAUGCAGUUUUACCUCUGUAUAACCCUGCGGAAUGUGUUGGUGCGUUAAGAAUGUAAAAUAAAUAAUACAAAUAAUAUUAAUAAAUAAUAAUAAUACAGCCAUAAAAUAAAAUUUAAAAAGUAAAAUUGAGAAUAGAAUGCCAUUUGAGUUUUAUAGAACUCCGUGCAGUCAAUUAUAACAAAUUGAUCAGAAAUAUCUACAUUUUCAACAAAGUUUUUCAAUGUGUUGAAAAUAAUUGUAUAUAUACACAGCCGACAAAUCUUAUUCAUCGAAACAUGGUCCCUUCUUAUAUUUAAUUGAAUAAUCAUUGCGAUCCUCUGACGUGUAUAGGGACCAUAUAUUAAUUUAUGACAAAUACAUUGCAUUAAACUAAUGAGGCGAUUAUCUAAAUAUGAUGUCAGUCAUCAACAUUUAAAUCACAGAUUGAAUGAAAAAUAAAAUUUCAAUCCAAAGGCAAGUUGGGGAUAUUUUUUAUCACUUCAGCUAUUUAUUUUUGGCCUAGAAUUUACCAGUAGGCUCUAGAGUUUCACAAUUCUCAGUUUACGCCCUCCCUUCCCCAUAUUCCUAAUAUACAUAGUAUAUCUAAUAAAGAGAGGGAUUGAACGAGUGUGUGUGUGUUAACCACUUCAUGACCAUGGUUGCACUGUGUUGUUCGCCCUAAAAGGGUUAAAGUGACCAAGUGACAGGUUUGGCCCACAGUGUUGGUCAGGAGGUGUAGCACUGAAGAAAGGCCCUUACAUGUCUCUAUAGUUUCACAGACAUCAGGACAAUGAGCUGAGGUCAGUGGAAAGCGGUUAAGUGCUGGAAAAUCCCUUCCUAGAUUGCUCACAGCAACAUCUGCACUUUUUACAUUUACAGUCUCAUUUGUUCUUUUGAAUACAUGUAGCAAUAAUUCUUUUCAGUUAGAGUCUUUCGAAAUGAAACAACACAAACUACUGAUGUAAAGCAGGAUUAAAGAAAACACACUGAUGUAAUAAAAUGAAAGCAUUAAAAAACAAAAAACAAAUCACAUUGAUGCAAUAUAUUUAUCACAACUUUUUUCAAUUGACUAUAAUUUGAUUGCUUGCCCCAAUAAUGUCGCAUCAGUCGGGGCUUUGGCAAAAAAGAAAAAAAAAAUAGUUUUCACGUUUUCCCAAUUAUACAACAUAUUAUUGUGCCUUUUCAAACGAUUACUCAAAGGGUUGACAUUCCUAACAAUGUAUGCCAGCCAAUAUGUAUUAACCUUUAAAAUGCCACAGUCAUGCAAUACUAUGAACUACUCUGGAGUCAGUAUUAUGUGAUACAAGGUGUUAAGGAGAUCUAUUAAUGCAAAGUAUCUGGAAAGGCCAGGACUAUGGGGGGCUUGAUAACAAUGUUCCUUCUUGUUUCAGGGGCCAUUGUGUGGAUCUCAAGAGUGAGAAAGCUCAAGAAGCAAAGUUUAAUAUAUUGAUUCUUUAUAACUUCAGGGAAAAUUGUUAUUGCCACCAGUACAGUAAGUGUUUUGUAUAAAGUACAGAACACGGAAAUACCAAGUCAAAUUACAGAAUCCCAAUGGCCUACUACACCAUGCUGAACAAGAAUAUUCAAGCCAUCACUCAGAGAUUCUCACUUGUUACCUUCAUCAUCGUCUCCAAUCACAUUUAAAAUAUAAGGAGCUUAG